AUCAGCCAUGCCGCGUGAGUGAUGAAGGCCUUAGGGUUGUAAAGCUCUUUCACCGAUGAAGAUAAUGACGGUAGUCGGAGAAGAAGCCCCGGCUAACUUCGUGCCAGCAGCCGCGGUAAUCACGGGGGGGCUAGCGUUGUUCGGAAUUACU
RNAcentral lists this ribosomal RNA (151 nucleotides) under uncultured Rhizobiaceae bacterium. Its description in RNAcentral is "partial 16S ribosomal RNA". It matches the Rfam family "Bacterial small subunit ribosomal RNA", at positions 387 to 555 of the family's 1533-position model. Lineage: Bacteria; Pseudomonadati; Pseudomonadota; Alphaproteobacteria; Hyphomicrobiales; Rhizobiaceae. The record is from RNAcentral.